Caenorhabditis elegans is the source of this 21-nucleotide non-coding RNA. Lineage: Eukaryota; Metazoa; Nematoda; Chromadorea; Rhabditida; Rhabditidae. The record is from Ensembl.
UACUCGGAUGAAAUUGAAAUC